UGGGGAAUCUUGCACAAUGGGCGCAAGCCUGAUCCAGCCAUGCCGCGUGAGUGAAGAAGGCCUUAGGGUUGUAAAGCUCUUUCGCUAGGGAAGAUAAUGACGGUACCUAGUAAAGAAACCCCGGCUAACUCCGUG
Molecule: ribosomal RNA, 135 nt
Filed under: uncultured Sneathiella sp.
Lineage: Bacteria; Pseudomonadati; Pseudomonadota; Alphaproteobacteria; Sneathiellales; Sneathiellaceae
Description: partial 16S ribosomal RNA
Rfam family: Bacterial small subunit ribosomal RNA
Source: RNAcentral